CGCGUAGGAAUCUACCUGGUAGUGGGGGACAACAGUUGGAAACAGCUGCUAAUACCGCAUACGCCCUAUGGGGGAAAGCGGGGGAUCUUCGGACCUCGCGCUAUCGGAUGAGCCUGCGUUGGAUUAGCUUGUUGGUGAGGUAAAAGCUCACCAAGGCGACGAUCCAUAGCUGGUCUGAGAGGAUGAUCAGCCACACCGGGACUGAGACACGGCCCAGACUCCUACGGGAGGCAGCAGUGGGGAAUAUUGGACAAUGGGCGAAAGCCUGAUCCAGCAAUGCCGCGUGGAUGAAGAAGGUCU
Molecule: ribosomal RNA, 300 nt
Filed under: uncultured Alteromonadales bacterium
Lineage: Bacteria; Pseudomonadati; Pseudomonadota; Gammaproteobacteria; Alteromonadales
Description: bacterial SSU rRNA
Rfam family: Bacterial small subunit ribosomal RNA
Source: RNAcentral